This 89-nucleotide unclassified non-coding RNA is filed under the name Pseudomonas jessenii. The record is from RNAcentral. Lineage: Bacteria; Pseudomonadati; Pseudomonadota; Gammaproteobacteria; Pseudomonadales; Pseudomonadaceae.
UGUGGGAGCGAGCUUGCUCGCGAUGGCGUUGUGUCAGUCACAUCGAUGUUGAAUGUGGCGCCGUCAUCGCGAGCGAGCUCGCUCCCACA